This 67-nucleotide transfer RNA is filed under the name Marmota monax (woodchuck). RNAcentral describes it as "tRNA.Ala". The record is from RNAcentral. Lineage: Eukaryota; Metazoa; Chordata; Mammalia; Rodentia; Sciuridae.
GGUUGUUGCUCAGAGGUAGAGUGCUGGCCUAGCAUGCGUGAGGCACUGGGUUCCAUCCUCAGCACCA